UCGAGGGGCAGCAUGGGGGAGUAGCAAUACUCUCUGAUGGCGACCCGUGCAAGGGUGCGUAACGCGUGAGCAACUUGCCCUCAUCAGGGGAAUAAUCGCUGGAAACGGCGUCUAAUGCCCCAUGGUGAUGUCCUCAGGCAUCUGAGGUCAUCUAAAGAUCCGUCGGAUGGGGAUAGGCUCGCGUGACAUUAGCUAGACGGCGGGGUAACGGCCCACCGUGGCGACGAUGUCUAGGGGUUCUGAGAGGAAGGUCCCCCACACUGGAACUGAGACACGGUCCAGACUCCUACGGGAGGCAGCAGUGAGGAAUAUUGGUCAAUGGCCGGAAGGCUGAACCAGCCAUGCCGCGUGAAGGUCAGUGCCCUAUGGGCGUUAAACUUCUUUUGUGCGGGAGCAAUAAUGGUCACGUGUGGCCAGACGAGAGUACCGUACGAAUAAGCAUCGGCUAACUCCGUGCCAGCAGCCGCGGUAAUACGGGGGAUGCAAGCGUUAUCCGGAUUUAUUGGGUUUAAAGGGUGCGUAGGCUGUGAGGUAAGUCAGCGGUGAAAUGCCCCCGCUCAACGGGGUGAAGUGCCAUUGAUACUGCCUUGCUGGAAUGCGGAUGCCGU
Molecule: ribosomal RNA, 608 nt
Filed under: uncultured bacterium
Lineage: Bacteria
Description: bacterial SSU rRNA
Rfam family: Bacterial small subunit ribosomal RNA
Source: RNAcentral